AUGCUUGCUUUGGCAGCACAUACCUUAAAAUUUGGAAUGAUACAAGGAUUAGCAUGGCCCCUGUGUAAGGAUGACAUGCAAAUUCGUGAAGUGUUCCAUAAAACA
This 105-nucleotide small nuclear RNA is filed under the name Microcebus murinus (gray mouse lemur). The record is from RNAcentral. Lineage: Eukaryota; Metazoa; Chordata; Mammalia; Primates; Cheirogaleidae.